This 371-nucleotide ribosomal RNA is filed under the name uncultured Bacteroidota bacterium. RNAcentral's name for it is "bacterial SSU rRNA". It matches the Rfam family "Bacterial small subunit ribosomal RNA", at positions 521 to 896 of the family's 1533-position model. The record is from RNAcentral. Lineage: Bacteria; Pseudomonadati; Bacteroidota.
UAAUACGGAGGGUCCGAGCGUUAUCCGGAAUCAUUGGGUUUAAAGGGUCCGCAGGCGGGCAAUUAAGUCAGAGGUGAAAUCCCAUAGCUCAACUAUGGAACUGCCUUUGAUACUGGUUGUCUUGAGUUAUACGGAAGUAGAUAGAAUAUGUGGUGUAGCGGUGAAAUGCAUAGAUAUCACAUAGAAUACCGAUUGCGAAGGCAGUCUACUACGUAUAUACUGACGCUCAUGGACGAAAGCGUGGGGAGCGAACAGGAUUAGAUACCCUGGUAGUCCACGCCGUAAACGAUGGAUACUAGCUGUUGGGCGUAAGCUCAGUGGCCAAGCGAAAGUGAUAAGUAUCCCACCUGGGGAGUACGAUCGCAAGAUUG